Long non-coding RNA from Musa acuminata AAA Group (dessert banana), 2211 nucleotides. RefSeq lists it as uncharacterized. The record is from RefSeq and is a predicted model, not a curated record. NCBI's taxonomy places the organism in Eukaryota, Viridiplantae, Streptophyta, Magnoliopsida, Zingiberales, Musaceae. The transcript is spliced from 10 exons.
CUACUUCAACCUCCUCCGCCUGAUUCGUUCCCGGUCUCCGCGUCUCUCCCUUCCCCUGCCUCACCUCGCGCCGAAGAAACCCUAGCGGUGACGACGUCCCUCGCUCCUCUGCUCUCUUAUCCGUUUUUCUUGGGCGAUUCAUUGAUUUCCUUUCUGCUCGCUAUCGGUAGCUGCAUUCGCGGAUUUGGUCCAUCCAAUCGUUGCUGUUUAAUUCUACCUGGGCUUUCCCCCCAUGUACUGAUGGUGAUUUGUGUUGCAGUUCAUGUUUUUGUUCUCAUUUCUUUCCUCCCCUUCUUUUGCAUCGUAUUUUCAGGAUCGAGAAGUUAUUGAGCUAUUGAGGUGUUGAUUGCUUGUGGCGGACUCUAGAGAAUUUUGUUGGUGAUCUGGGGAACUGCUGGUCCGGUUAGGGCUGGCUUCAAUAAUCCAACCAUGGCUCCAGGAGAAGAAUACCGUGCUUUAAGUCAAAGGGGAGGACAAUGCUCUCAGUUCUCUACUAAGUUUCUGCUUGCCUCCCCUUCUUUCCACGGUGGUAGGGGUGCCCUACCUUCGGAUCUGACAUUCCUUUCGGGCGGUGGUGUCAAAGUUAGAUCCGGAUUUGCUUUUACAUUGAUCAUAGUUGGCGUAGUUAAGCAUUGGAGACUUAGAUAAGUAUGUUGUCAGCCAAACAGGUUGAAGGUGAGACGGCCACUCUGAAGCAGAUCAUGAGCUUCGAGCGGUCUAAAAGUCGUCAAUCGCCUCUAAUAGUUAAAAUAAUUGAAGUUGAUUUAUGGAGUUGUCACGAAAAUAGGAAUGCUAACUAAAAAAAUGCAGGCAUUAUCACAAAUAUAUAUCGGCUUGGUAUACUUGCAAAAGCUGAUGGCACUUGUGAGGACCUACAAUGCUCUGAGACAGAAGACAGAAUCUUCUGGACAUCAUCCUCCCCUCGCAGUGGGAGAAUCAUGCUUGGAAGGAUCAGUUUAAAUAUGAUGUUACCACUUGCCAAAUAAAGAUGGCUACUGGUGGAAAGCUCAUUACUGAAUUGAAUGAAAAUUGGUACUCAAAUAUCAUUGUCGAUGAGAACAACAUGUUCCAGUCUGUGAGCCCCAACAGAGCAAAUUAUGUGAAACCUCACAGAGAAGAUCUUUUUUAUGUGUGUCAUGUGGAGAAAGGAAGGGCUCUGAGCUUGUUCAUUCAACUGCUGCCUAAAGAUGGAAUUUCAGUUGUCACUAUUAUGACUGAGCUCUUAGAUGAGAAGGUUCUCGGAUCAAUGACAUGAAUUGUUGCUGAGGGAUAUGGAUGAAGGGAUGAUCAAAACUGUGGAAUCAUUUCCAACUAUAUGUUUCUGUAGCUGUUGGCAAACAAUAUUUUGAUUGGAUUAUGUUUCUUUUUUUACUUUGUUGAGGAAAUUGGGUUGAGAAGCCUUAAAGGACUAAGAGAUAAAUUGACAGGUAGCUUUUCUGUGAGUACCAGAACAAACAUGGUUCGGGUCCCAGCAGCUCAUGUUGCAUCACGAUCCAGUGCACGAGCCUGUCAAGACUUCAAAGUGCUGCUGCAUGGCUUGGCCCCACUCCUGAGAGAGAGAGAGAGAAAGGGCAGAGCAACAAUUGAACGCCAUCUGACUCCCCCUUCUCAAAGCCACAUCUCAACUCAGCACAUGAACACUCUUCAGAUGCACUAACUUCUACAGCUUGGAUGGGGAGCUCCAGUAGCCUCCCAACUCUUUUUAAAGGCUUGCUUCUGAGAAUCCAAAGUCACUCUCAGCCAAAUAUGAAAGGUGCAAUAGUUUUAAUACAUAAAAGCUGGGCUUCACACCAACCCAUGAGAAACUUUUGGAACAGGGAGGAAUCUGCAAAACCAAGAAACCAUGCCAUCUCACACAUCAACUGGCUUUGGAUCAAAGAUUUAGAAUCGGACUCAGCUCAGACCUGAUGGAAACGCGAACUCACAUAUUUGCUUUCCAAGUGAGAAGUACUCUCUCUCCGAUUCACAUGCCAAAUCUGCACCAAAGCCUAACAUAGCGGCAGAAUGCGGUCAAGAAAGAAUGGGUCAGAAUUCCUUCCACCUGCCGUGGCCCCAUCCCCUGAUUAAAGAUGGACCCACGACACACACUCCCUUGCUUUCUACAUCCACUUCCCACUACCCACCUUCGUUUCCUCUUCUUCUGCAUCUUUGAUGAGAAAUCGGGUGUGGUUUUAUCGGGAUCCACCUCCAUUUAUUUAUUAAUAAUAAAAU